This 444-nucleotide ribosomal RNA is filed under the name uncultured bacterium. Its description in RNAcentral is "bacterial SSU rRNA". It matches the Rfam family "Bacterial small subunit ribosomal RNA", at positions 64 to 524 of the family's 1533-position model. The record is from RNAcentral.
GAACGAGAGAGUGGAGCAAUCCAUGAGUACAGUGGCGACCGGGUGAGUAACACGUGACCAACCUGCCCUUGAGUGGGGGAUAACUCCGGGAAACCGGGGCUAAGACCGCAUAACAUCCUCGGAUCGGAAGAACUGGGGAUCAAAGGAGCAAUCCGCUUAAGGAGGGGGUCGCGGCUGAUUAGCUGGUUGGUAGGGUAAUGGCCUACCAAGGCGAAGAUCGGUAGCCGGCCUGAGAGGGCGCACGGCCACACUGGAACUGAAACACGGUCCAGACUCCUACGGGAGGCAGCAGUGGGGAAUUUUGCGCAAUGGGGGAAACCCUGACGCAGCAACGCCGCGUGGAGGAUGAAGUCCUUUGGGACGUAAACUCCUUUCGACCGGGACGAUAAUGACGGUACCGGUGGAAGAAGCACCGGCUAACUCUGUGCCAGCAGCCGCGGUAAU